UGGCAAGGUCAUCCUGUGUCUUUAGGUUGU
This 30-nucleotide non-coding RNA is filed under the name Mus musculus (house mouse). Lineage: Eukaryota; Metazoa; Chordata; Mammalia; Rodentia; Muridae. The record is from RNAcentral.